AACGAACGCUGGCGGCGCGCUUAACACAUGCAAGUCGAACGAGAAAGGGUAGCAAUAUCUGAGUACAGUGGCGCACGGGUGAGAAACGCGUAGGUGACCUACCUUAGUGACUGGAAUAACUAGCCGAAAGGUUAGCUAAUACUGGAUAGGGCGCACGGGCUGUGAGGGUUUGUGCGGGAAAGGGUGGCUUUGCAGCAAUGCAGGGCUAUUGCACUGAGAUGGGCCUGCGUCUCAUUAGCUAGUUGGUUGGGUAACGGCCUACCAAGGCGAUGAUGGGUAGGUGGUCUGAGAGGACGAGCAGCCACACUGGAACUGAGACACGGUCCAGACUCCUACGGGAGGCAGCAGUGGGGAAUCUUGCGCAAUGGACGAAAGUCUGACGCAGCGACGCCGCGUGGGUGAAGAAGGCCUUCGGGUUGUAAAGCCCUGUCGAGGGGGAAAAACGUUCAUAUGGAUAAUACCUAUAUGGAGUGAUGGUACCUCUAGAGGAAGCACCGGCUAACUCUGUGCCAGCAGCCGCAGUAA
Molecule: ribosomal RNA, 525 nt
Filed under: uncultured bacterium
Lineage: Bacteria
Description: partial 16S ribosomal RNA
Rfam family: Bacterial small subunit ribosomal RNA
Source: RNAcentral